RNAcentral lists this ribosomal RNA (893 nucleotides) under human gut metagenome. RNAcentral's name for it is "bacterial SSU rRNA". It matches the Rfam family "Bacterial small subunit ribosomal RNA", at positions 8 to 868 of the family's 1533-position model. The record is from RNAcentral.
AGAGUUUGAUCCUGGCUCAGGACGAACGCUGGCGGCGUGCCUAAUACAUGCAAGUCGAACGAAGCUUUCUUUCACCGAAUGCUUGCAUUCACCGAAAGAAGCUUAGUGGCGAACGGGUGAGUAACACGUAGGCAACCUGCCCAAAAGAGGGGGAUAACACUUGGAAACAGGUGCUAAUACCGCAUAACCAUGAACACCGCAUGAUGUUCAUGUAAAAGACGGCUUUUGCUGUCACUUUUGGAUGGGCCUGCGGCGUAUUAACUUGUUGGUGGGGUAACGGCCUACCAAGGUGAUGAUACGUAGCCGAACUGAGAGGUUGAUCGGCCACAUUGGGACUGAGACACGGCCCAAACUCCUACGGGAGGCAGCAGUAGGGAAUCUUCCACAAUGGACGAAAGUCUGAUGGAGCAACGCCGCGUGAAUGAAGAAGGCCUUCGGGUCGUAAAAUUCUGUUGUCAGAGAAGAACGUGCGUGAGAGUAACUGUUCACGUAUUGACGGUAUCUGACCAGAAAGCCACGGCUAACUACGUGCCAGCAGCCGCGGUAAUACGUAGGUGGCGAGCGUUGUCCGGAUUUAUUGGGCGUAAAGGGAACGCAGGCGGUCUUUUAAGUCUGAUGUGAAAGCCUUCGGCUUAACCGAAGUAGUGCAUUGGAAACUGGAAGACUUGAGUGCAGAAGAGGAGAGUGGAACUCCAUGUGUAGCGGUGAAAUGCGUAGAUAUAUGGAAGAACACCAGUGGCGAAAGCGGCUCUCUGGUCUGUAACUGACGCUGAGGUUCGAAAGCGUGGGUAGCAAACAGGAUUAGAUACCCUGGUAGUCCACGCCGUAAACGAUGAGUGCUAAGUGUUGGAGGGUUUCCGCCCUUCAGUGCUGCAGCUAACGCAUUAAGCACU